UACGUAGGGUGCGAGCGUUAAUCGGAAUUACUGGGCGUAAAGCGUGCGCAGGCGGUUUUGCAAGCCGGAUGUGAAAUCCCCGGGCUCAACCUGGGAAUGGCAUUCGGGACUGCAAGGCUGGAGUGCGGCAGAGGAGACUGGAAUUCCUGGUGUAGCAGUGAAAUGCGUAGAUAUCAGGAGGAAUACCCAGGGGGAAACCAGUCGACUGGGCAGCACCUGACGCUGAGGUGCGAGAGCGUGGGGAGCGAACCGG
This 253-nucleotide ribosomal RNA is filed under the name uncultured bacterium. RNAcentral describes it as "partial 16S ribosomal RNA". It matches the Rfam family "Bacterial small subunit ribosomal RNA", at positions 524 to 776 of the family's 1533-position model. The record is from RNAcentral.